Long non-coding RNA from Mus musculus (house mouse), 5816 nucleotides. RefSeq annotates it as predicted gene, 31746. NCBI's taxonomy places the organism in Eukaryota, Metazoa, Chordata, Mammalia, Rodentia, Muridae. The record is from RefSeq and is a predicted model, not a curated record. The transcript is spliced from 3 exons.
UGCAGGGCAGCAUGGGACCCUCCCCAAGACAACUGAGCCCUUCCGGGAUAAGGCAUGUCUGACCAGGCUGUACCUGCAAUCGGCUCUCAAAGUUGGACACGUGAAAUUGAAAAAUAUUAAACCUCACAGCUUGUGACUUCUCCGUUCCUUCUGUUCCCACUGGGGGGAAAGUAACACAAUCUCUUCCCCCACCCUCCCACGGGUGGGGAGAGCGGACGUUUGGAUGCCAUUUCAGAGCAAUGCUUAAUGAAGUGAGAAAAUGCAUUUGCAGUGUUGGGCUCUGUGGCACACGCGUGCAAGCCCAGAAGAGCACAAUGGGUGUAUUUUGUGAUUUAGACAUGAGCUACAAAUGCCAAAGAAAUGCCGUCGGAAGAAAAAUCAGACUUGAAAGUCCAAGCUCAGCUUAGAAACAGAUGUAAUUUUUGUUUCUUAAAAAAGAAAAUUUCAGUGGCCUCCUCUCUGCUCCCCCAAGCUGUGUCCUGUCACUGUCUUAGAUGACCUUUCAACGGUGUCUGCCUGGGAUACUUUUAGUAAGCAGGUUGGAGCAUGUGACCCUUGACUCUGCUGCACAUUCUUUGGGGGAGCCUGAAGGCUCUCCAGCUGCCCCCUGGGUGGUCUCUUCAGUUGUGGCCACUGAUGUCUGAGCCUGAUAAGCUGGAAGACCUGGGACCCAAGACCUUCCUUUGGCCAGCAAAGCACUGAGCAGUGCACCUUGAGGGCCAGGGGCCUCGCCUGGAACAGAUGCUCUCGGUGGGAGGCGGUGGGCAGAUGGCUUAGAUUUUUUUGGCAGGUGUAGAGGAUAAUCUUGCUUUUGAGGAUAUUUUUUUUUUUCUACCCUGUUGUCAUCAAUAGACAACAGACUCCUUCUAGUGUUGACAUUUGGCCUAGAGGUGCUGCCUGCACUAAGAACAAAAGCAAAAGCAAGCACAAAAGUGAACUUCGAAACCAACAUAGGAAGAGUAGACACAGAGCCUGUUUACUCUUCGAAAGGGAUGUAUAUCCAACAAGGUUACCAAGGAAAUGACAGACAGACCCAAAAGACAACAAAGAAAGUAAAUCUAGCAACCAUUUCAGUUGCUAAGAAAUGAGUCAUCAAUUCAGGGAAGAGACCUUACUAUUUGCAAGUUCUGGGUAUUUGCUGGGUGUGGCUCCUCCAGACUUACCACAGAACAGUAAAGGUGUUUUAAAAUGUAGCAGCUGACUUCCUAGACUUGAAUAACACUCUCUGUCAUGAAGUUAACAAGCAAUGAACCGGCUACAUCACUCAGCUUUCUCUGAAUCCAAAUUCUGUGCUUUCUCUCAGAUUGCUACAUUGGGAGCUGGUAGGGUUCUCAGUGCGAAUAGGUGUGGCUGAGCCUGACAACCUGGUUAUUAUCCCCAGGAACUAGCUCUCUCUCUCUCUCUCUCUCUCUCUCUCUCUCUCUCUCUCUCUCUCUCUCUCUCUCACACACACACACACACACACACACACACACUGUAAUAAUUAUAAACAAAGCUGGUGUGAAUGAGUGCGUAUUGAUGUUUAAAAUUAAGGCUGCCUCGUCUUCACUUCAGUAGCAAGCUGGAACUUACUGAUUGGAAGCAAAACAUCUUACAUGAUGAGUUUUUAGCAUAAAGAAGUCCCGUUCUUCUCUCUCAUGUUCAUAUGUUGUUAAAUCCCAUCCUGGGAUUCACCUGGCUCACAGAUUGUCUGCCCCAUGAGGUAAGCUCUUAGAGUUCACAGUUUCUCUGCUUGGAUUCUGUCUUAGCCACAGUUCUCUUUUUCUCCUGGUCCCAACCUGGUCUGCUUUUCCUUUUCUGGCACCUGCCUAUUUGUCUUCAAGGUCUGCUUCCAGGGCCCACAGGCUGCCUCUUUCCCUGGCCUCCUUUUUGGUGCUGGCCCCUCACUGCCCUUUAUCCAUCCCAUAGCUUAGUACCAUGGUUGCUUUGAUGAAUUAAAAAGGCUCAACGUGGGGAGGUUAGCCCUGUGUUUCUGCUGCCUUGAGAAAUAAUGCUGAACAUUACUGUGCGAUGACGAUGCUCUUAAGCUACAGAAGUUCAAGACCAGUGUCUGUAUUUAAAGCCCUGUUCUGGAUGUUCCAGAUGUGGCUUCUUUCUGUCUCUGGGGAAGCUUUCCUUGCACAGUCCUAGAUAAACUGUAAGUACCUCCAUCAGGCCCGGGAUGAGGAGCGGGGCUCCUGGUCCUCUUGACAUCAUUGUUAUUUAGGGGGGCUAUCUUUGUAUUUUUGUUCUUCGCCUUAUUUCCUAAGAUAGAUGUUCCCUGGCAAAGGUGGUGUAUGGACAGCUAAAAGCCUUAUUCUGAGAAUAUGUGAGUAGUCUUCAAUGAUGUUUUUCACCAUACAAAAUGGGAUUUUUCACAAUAACCUAUUUUCUUUUGGUUCACAAGUGGCAUCUAUUUUUCUAAUUCAUCUACUGGCUUCUCAAAGACAUCCAGUUAUUAAGUGACAAGGUAAGAUUUGAACUCAGGCAUUUCUCAACUACUACUCAAUCUCUGAGCCCAUGUGCUAAGGUUGUUUUGGAAUAAGUAUUAGUCUAAACCAAACGAAGAUGCCUGUGUUUGACUUGUUUUGUUUUAAAAUAAGGUCUUAUUAUGUAGUCCAGGUCAGCCUUGAACUUCUCCUGUUCCUGAUUUUUGAAUGCUGGGAGUAUAGGCAAGUACCCCUGCAUUCCAUGAUUCUAUUUUUGACUUUCAAAAACUGGAAAUUUGUAUGUGGAUUAUAUACAAAUAUAAUUCAAUAUCAUAUGGAUCAAAUAUCGCAAUAAUACAAUGUCUCUUAGACCAACAAUGUAAGAGAGACAGAACCGAUGUUCUCUAUGUGGGUUGAUACGGUCUAGCUUUAUCAUGGGGCACACAUGCCUUCUGGAAGACAUCUGCAAUAACUGAGGUACCAGUUAUUAACCAGCAUGAUCCAGGUACACAGCAUAGGGGGAGUUAACUGAAGAAAUGCUGAAUCAGUUGGAUAAUAGGAAUCCUGUUUGAUGUAAUCUUUUCAAGCUUUAGCAUAUGUUCUAUUUCUGGAGUCUGUGUGUGUGUGUGUGUCCCCAAAGACAAAGACAGAGGGACUUUUUAUAGUUGGGAGAAAAGCCUCCAGCAUGGCAUGUGUGCCCUUGAAGCAAAUACUAAGACCUGGUUAGAUGAAGGCUCCACAUGGGGGGGGAGGGGUAUUACCAUCACCAUCCUCUCCAAAAUGGCCUCACUUUCCGGGAGGCAUGCUAUUAUUUUCUUUAAAUUUUAAAAGUGAGGAAAGUGAGGAAAGUGAGGGAAGCUUAUGUUUGUGGAGGGAGAGCCUUGACUCCUGAGCAGCAUUGGCUGAUAGAGCCUUCUGCCGUGAUCAAAAUGUUCUCCGCCUGUCCUCUUUAACAUGGUAGCCACUGUCCACACGCGGAUGCUGGACACAUGAAGCCUGGCUGCUCUCAAUCUUGUCAGAAGAAGUUUCUCUUCCAUUUUUUUCCCCAAGAAAGAAAGGGGUUGUUUCAUCCUACAGCUUGUAGUUCAUCAUCCAGGGAAGUCAGAGGAGGAGCUCAAGGCAGGACCAAGAGGACCAAGAGCAACUGAAGCAAGCAGGACCAAGAGGUAGCAACUGAAGCGGACUGUGGAGGAGUGCUGUCUACCAGCUUGCUUCCCAGGCCUUGCUCGGUUACUUCCUCUACCAUCCAGGACCACCCACCCAGAGGCAGGGACACAUAUCAAUCAGUAAUCAAUGCCUUACACGCUUGCCCAGGAUCCAAUCUGCUGAGGGCCUUGAGAAAUUUAUUUUUGUGGCAGGCAGCAGUGGAGAGAUGCAGGACAAGUCCAAGUGCCGAAGAAAAGAGGACAGGUGCUCAGCAUCCUUAGGAAGUCCCUACCGAGGUUAAGGGAGGACCCUUGAAGACGAGGUAGAGCGAAUGUAAGAGGCAGGGGGUAGGGAGAAGUGCUGUGAAAUCCUGUCUUCUGGACAUGAUAUAGCUUACACAAUCGUGAACUGACAGCAGCAUAGUUAUGCAUACAAGGCCUGGACAAGAUCAAGCCAGCUAAAAUGCAGACCUUGAUAAGAAUGCUCUCCAGGUUUCACCGCUCACCGAGGAGCUGCCGCUGGUAGAUAGUUGUUGACAGAGGAAAAAUUAUUUGGUUUUGAAGAUGUGGCCACUGGACUUUUCCAGACUCCGGGUCUUCAUCUGUUCACUUGGCCAAGUUCCGCUCACUGCUACUCAAGCCUUUCCCAAGAACCAUCCAAUCUGUGCAUUUGUACACGUAUGCACCUUCUACUAUGAAGGGCUUUGGUGUCAUUUAGUUCCAAGUCAAUCCUAUAAAACAUUUCAGUCAACCAAGAUACCCCAACCACUAGUAUGAGGCUGUCCUUCUCCCUUGUGUUCAAACUCAUACACCAAGGUUAGACAGGAGGAGACCUUGGGCUGUUCCACCUGCAGACACUUUACUAACAGAGGACUAGAGCAUCAUCAAGAUGCUGCAAGCACUUGACUGACUGAACCACUCCCAGUCCUUAAACCCGGGCUUGAUGGUUGUUUUAUUUUGAUUUCACCUUUUUCUGCUCAUCACACUAACCUGGUCUCAUUAUGCAGCACUGCAGAAUGGAAUGGAAAAUUCUUUUGGCUUGUUUGCUUCUGCAGACAUUGGAAUGUAAACUAGAGAACAUUUGUAAGUUCCAAGAGAGCAUCUCGUUUUGUCUUUGAAGACUGACACCACCACGAGUUUCUAGAGCAGUUUGCUAUGACUUCAUAAGCGUUACCAGAGUUUCCCAAGAGAGAGACGCCAUUCCACUUACAGAGCGUCUCAGUUGGUAUGAUGAUUUGCCCCAAAGCACUGGAAAGCUAGCGAAAGAAAAGUGAGAAUUCAGCAAUGUACAAUUGAAGUCUGGGCUUAUAUUUAUUAGAUUCAUAAGGCCAUAUUACCGAUACAGAGAUGGGGGAAUUAAGCAGAAUUGUCAGUGACAUUAAUAAUAUGUGCCAAAGGGCAGGGGAGCUCACUGCUGUGAAUGGAGCUGAAAAAUUCAUGGGCCUCAGUGGAUGAAGGCACUCAUCAACCUCCGGUCUGGGUAAGAAAUUUCUACUGGAUCCCAAACUUGAGACUCUGCAUGGAAACCUGAUAAAUGAGCUACUUCAUGUCUCCGAGCUGCGUAUUCCAUAUGUGGCUAAACACUUCAACGCUUCAGACCACAUCCCUUCUGAUUUUAGAAUUUUUCCAAAUACAGCUGCUAUUAAAAACCCGAGUCUUGGAUGUAAGAAGAAAAACUUUUGUGGUCCCUACCAAAUGAAAUGCUCAGCUGUGACUCAGAAGACAAUACAGGCAUUUACAUGCCACGCUUUCUGGAAUCCUCAUUGAGAAGUGUUGGAUGGGGGUCUCCACAGAGGGUGGCCCACAUCCUGGUCCCUGCCCAGACCUCACGCCUCUCCCUCUCUCAAAUAUCUCACAGUGGCAGACACAAAAGCCUGUUCUGUCUUUCCAUGGGGAAAAAGAGCCUCUGAUUUUGUGACUUGCACAGAGUUUUCGUUUUGUUUUGUUUUUACUUUUACUUUUAAAUUAUUAUUUUAAAAUACAUCAUCUUCCCUCAUUAAGUGUUUUGGAAUCAGUCAAGAUUCAAACCCCUCCUCUUCCUUACUAUUUCCUAAGCAGCACACAACUUCUAGGUCUGGGAUUGUUUUGAAACCCAGGAAGAACUCACUUGUAUGGAGUUGCUUGGUUUUUCAUCAUCAUUGUCAGCAUGGAUAAACAGUGUGCAUCUCACACAACUGAAAGAUGUAAAUACAGGGUUUCUUUGUGAACUCCACUGGUAGAUAAAUGUAGCAUGCCAUGGAAUGUUUUACAUAUGUGUAUUGAA